This 72-nucleotide transfer RNA is filed under the name Camelus bactrianus (Bactrian camel). It matches the Rfam family "tRNA". From Rfam's summary of the family: Transfer RNA (tRNA) molecules are approximately 80 nucleotides in length. Lineage: Eukaryota; Metazoa; Chordata; Mammalia; Artiodactyla; Camelidae. RNAcentral also lists the same sequence under 2 other names. The record is from Rfam by way of RNAcentral.
GAGGGUAUAGCUCAGUGGUAGAGCACAUGCUUAGCGUGCACGAGGUCCUGGGUUCAAUCCCCAGUACCUCUA